GUAGGGAAUCUUCCGCAAUGGACGAAAGUCUGACGGAGCAACGCCGCGUGAGUGAUGAAGGCUUUCGGGUCGUAAAACUCUGUUGUUAGGGAAGAACAAGUACGAGAGUAACUGCUCGUACCUUGACGGUACCUAACCAGAAAGCCACGGCUAACUACGUGCCAGCAGCCGCGGUAAUACGUAGGUGGCAAGCGUUAUCCGGAAUUAUUGGGCGUAAAGCGCGCGCAGGCGGUUUCUUAAGUCUGAUGUGAAAGCCCACGGCUCAACCGUGGAGGGUCAUUGGAAACUGGGGAACUUGAGUGCAGAAGAGAAAAGCGGAAUUCCACGUGUAGCGGUGAAAUGCGUAGAGAUGUGGAGGAACACCAGUGGCGAAGGCGGCUUUUUGGUCUGUAACUGACGCUGAGGCGCGAAAGCGUGGGGAGCAAACAGGAUUAGAUACCCUGGUAGUCCACGCCGUAAACGAUGAGUGCUAAGUGUUAGAGGGUUUCCGCCCUUUAGUGCUGCAGCUAACGCA
This 514-nucleotide ribosomal RNA is filed under the name uncultured Bacillus sp. RNAcentral describes it as "bacterial SSU rRNA". It matches the Rfam family "Bacterial small subunit ribosomal RNA", at positions 354 to 859 of the family's 1533-position model. Lineage: Bacteria; Bacillati; Bacillota; Bacilli; Caryophanales; Bacillaceae. The record is from RNAcentral.